RNAcentral lists this unclassified non-coding RNA (263 nucleotides) under Hevea brasiliensis (rubber tree). The record is from RNAcentral. Lineage: Eukaryota; Viridiplantae; Streptophyta; Magnoliopsida; Malpighiales; Euphorbiaceae.
CAAUGUCCUUAUUUGAGAGGGAUGAAGCCACACCAAAGAGAUGGUUCCCCGGGAGAGUAUCCAUGUCCAUGGUAUGAGUUUCAGCUGAUGAUUCAUUCUUUAAAUCAACUGCAGAAGUGUGGACAUUUUCAAUGUUUUCUUUUCCUUCACUAUCUGUGGAGCUGUCCAGAGUUUGCAGUUUCACUCCUUGCUUAACAUUCAAACCAUAAUCCGGAGAUAAGCUGAGGAACUCACUCGUUGGUUUUCCUUCAAUUUUGGUGGAU